UACGGAGGGGGCUAGCGUUGUUCGGAAUUACUGGGCGUAAAGCGCACGUAGGCGGCGAUCUAAGUCAGAGGUGAAAGCCCGGGGCUCAACCCCGGAACAGCCUUUGAGACUGGAUUGCUAGAAUCACGGAGAGGUGGGUGGAAUUCCGAGUGUAGAGGUGAAAUUCGUAGAUAUUCGGAAGAACACCAGUGGCGAAGGCGGCCCACUGGACGUGUAUUGACGCUGAGGUGCGAAAGCGUGGGGAGCAAACAGG
RNAcentral lists this ribosomal RNA (253 nucleotides) under uncultured bacterium. Its description in RNAcentral is "partial 16S ribosomal RNA". It matches the Rfam family "Bacterial small subunit ribosomal RNA", at positions 524 to 776 of the family's 1533-position model. The record is from RNAcentral.